CUUGUGUUCAAAUGGUCAGAACAAACUAGAAAUGUAAUAUAGGAUAUGAAAAAUGGUUUAUGAUUAUAAAAAGUAUUCCAAUGUCUUAAGAAAAUACAAAUUAAACAAACCAAGGCUUUGGAUAUAUCAUGUUCAUAUGCCUUUGGUUCCCAGUACUCUCCAUUUUAAACCUUAAGGAAAGCUUACAAGUGAAAGCAUUAUGUGUAUAAUAUAGCAAGGGAUCUUCAGCCAUUCAUCACAAGGGGAACAUGAACACUUUGCAAGAUGUGCAACAGUCCAUUAGUAACCG
Pelobates cultripes (western spadefoot toad) is the source of this 289-nucleotide non-coding RNA. NCBI's taxonomy places the organism in Eukaryota, Metazoa, Chordata, Amphibia, Anura, Pelobatidae. The record is from the annotation of a GenBank genome assembly.